CCUACGGGAGACUGCAGUGAGGAAUAUUGGUCAAUGGCCGGAAGGCUGAACCAGCCAAGUCGCGUGAGGGACGACUGCCCUAUGGGUUGUAAACCUCUUUUAUAAGGGAAGAAUAAAUGCUACGUGUAGCAUGAUACAUGUACCUUAUGAAUAAGCAUCGGCAAACUCGGUGCCAGCAGCCGCGGUAAUAAGGAGGAUGCGAGCGUUAUCCGGAUUUAUUGGGGUAAACGGGUGCGUAGGCGUUGUUUUAAGUUAGUGGUUAAACGUCGGGGCUAAACUUUGAUUUGCCAUUAAUACUGUAAGACUCGAGUUUUGACGAGGUAGGCAGAAUAAGUUAAGUAGCGGUGAAAUGCUUAGAGAUAACUUAGAACUCCGAUAGCGAAGGCAGCUUACCAGACUACGACUGACGCUGAAGUGCGAGAGCGUGGGUAGCGAACAGGAUUAGAUACCCUUGUAGUC
Molecule: ribosomal RNA, 459 nt
Filed under: uncultured bacterium
Lineage: Bacteria
Description: partial 16S ribosomal RNA
Rfam family: Bacterial small subunit ribosomal RNA
Source: RNAcentral